Molecule: long non-coding RNA, 1450 nt
Filed under: Ovis aries (sheep)
Lineage: Eukaryota; Metazoa; Chordata; Mammalia; Artiodactyla; Bovidae
Description: lncRNA (ENSOARG00000026459.1)
Source: RNAcentral
GAAUGUUAUGCUUUAUUCCCAGAUACUGGGUUUUAUAUUAAGUUAGUGUCAGGAAAGCAUAAGAGACAAUGUCCUGGAAUCUUAUUUUGACUCACAGAAUUUGGGAAAAGAGGUCCUGAAAUAAUGUUGCUAAUAUGUGUACUCCAAAGUAGCUUUGGUCCUGCUGAUCUAAGGCUGAAACUGAGUUUUCCAGAAGGCUAUUCACCUGUCACCAGUUCCUUCUGCUUUCUCAGAUCCUAGGUCCCUUGGACAGCAUGACCGGGUCUCUGAGCUGGACUGGAGGCUCUUCUAGGCUCUGACAGAACCAUUCCUAGGAUCCUGCCCAAAUCUUGAUGUGCCAAGCUGACACGGCCCUGCGAGCAUUCCCUGUCCUCAUCAGAUUUGGAGAAGUCCCAGUGGCUCAAGAAAUAAAAGAACCCACCUGCAGUGCACCAGACACCCGAGAAGUGGGUUUGACCCCUGGGUCAGGAAGAUCCCCUGGAGGAGGAAAUGGCAACCCCCUCCAGUCCAUGGAAAUCCCAUGGACAGAGGAGCCUAGGGUGCUACAGUCCACGGGUUCCCAAAGAGGUGAACACGACCAAGCACGCAUGUGCACAACAAAUUCCAGAUCUAGCCAGCUCCAGGGUUACCAGAGGGCCCAAGAGUUGACUCUUUAGAGCUAUGGGGCCUCAUCUCCCUGAAGUGGUUAGAGCAGCACCUUUUGAUGUUGCCAGGACAUCUCGGUCUUUCCAGGGACAUAAGAAUUCCUUCAGUCUCUGCUGAGGAGAGCUCUGAGCCCCGCCUGCAGACUUGGGGGCCGGGGAGCAGGAGUGGGGCUCCUGUGACAGAGCAGGAAGUCACUGCUCCAGGACAGUGAGCCGAGGAGAGGCAGAGGGUUGGCCUUGUUGGGGGGCGGGGGCGGGUAGCGGGGGAACAAGAAGAGGAAGUCAGCAGAGGGAAAGACCACGCUUUGAGCAAGGGUGACACACCCAGUAUUGUACUAGCCCUUUUGCAUAUAUUUUCUCUUUCAUAUCUGGAAUUACGUUUUUUAAUUAGAAAAGAAAUACACAAAUGGUAUACAACAUAAGAAGCAAAACUCUCCCCUGGAGUUCCAUGGUCCAUGGAACAAUCAGUGUUAACAAUUUGGUUAAAAACAAAAUAGCAGGGACUUCCCUAGUGGUCCAGUGGCUAAGACUCUGCACACCCAAUGCAGGAAGCCCGGGUUCUACCCCUGGUCAGGGAACUGGAUCCCACGUGCUGCAACUAAGACCCAGGGCAGCCAAAUAAAUAAAUAUUUACAAAUAAAAAAUGGCAUGUGACAAGUAAACAAAGUAGAUCUUUUUUCACUGAUAAUGAAGUAAUUUGAACCAAUCUUUUCGCUAAAGACAAUUAAAAUAUCUGGAUUAAGGAUUUUUCAAAAAUUUCACUUGAAAUAUCAAAAAGGCUAACAGGAUCAUGAGGCUUAUUGAGC